GACGGUUACUCUGACAUCCCAUCUCAGGAGACAGGUGGUCCACCUCAAGUAUAUAAAGGAUCCUCCUUGCUAACAAUAAAAAUCAGACCAAGCCAAGGAUUUGGGAGUGCCUCGAAGCAGCUUUCUGUAAGAAAACCUACCCACCAACAACUUUUACAAGGGCAGAAGGACGAGCUGCUUGGCUGCUGUCUGUGUGCUGGAAAAGACAAGGGCAUCGACAUAAAUAAUAGCAGCACCCAUUAAGCCUGUUCCUGAUCAGCCUGGCUGGACUCUGCAACAAUAGGGCAGGUGCAGCUGGGAAGGAAAACACCUCUGCCCAAAGGCUGCAGCAAGAGGCAUUUGGAAGGUGGGAGAAAGAAUCUACCAAAUGCUUAAGCAAAUCUGCGACCCCCCACUCAAACCUUUUUGAGGGAAAAGACAUGGCACUGACUUCGGUCCCUUAGCAAAUGAAGACAGCUGGUGGUCUGCAUUUAAACGUGGCUGUUCGGCGCUCAGGCCAGGUUUGGCAGCUCACAAAUCAGAUUGCCUCUUGGUUCUCAGGAGUGGAGAAUUGCCACGAGUGGAAGAGCUGAGGGGAAGUUGCUGCCCAUAACUGCUGUGCCAGCAUGGGCUCUAGGCUUGCGGGGAGGCACUGAAGUUGUUGGUUCAGGAGAGAAAUUCAGUUUCUGAGGCUUUAAUGUUAUGUGACAUUAUUGGCAUAUGGCAAGGUGGUCCCAAAUGGUAUUUUUCUCUCAUAUGGAUGGGUUGUGAGCCAGUCCUUUUGCUUUGGUAAUUUAUUUCAUGCUAGAGCAUAGACUGUGUCUUAAAAGAGGCAGGAAAACACAGAGCUAUUAAAUCUCACCUGGUCUCAUGUUAAGAAAGUGAACUGAAGAGUGGGUCCUGGCUUUGCUCAGAUUUUGUCUGCUGGGAACUGGCUGCAGAUACUCAGUUUCACUCUUACUGCUGACCACAGGCAAUGUCCUCCCAGUGCUGCUGCGCUGGCAAGAUGAGUUUUCUUAUGAUUCCUUUUGCCUGGGACUGCCAGAAUGCCUGGAAGAGAGAAAAUGGUGUUGACUUGCCUGUCUUUUGGACACUGCACGCAGCGAAGUAUCUGGUAACAUGAUUUAUAUGCUGUGGUCACUUCUCCUGCAAGGCAACAUGAGAAAGACAUCCUGAGCAGAACUAGAAAACAAAACCUUUUUCAUAGAACAUGAAAAGAUAAAAUUGACAAGAAAGGAGCUGUCAGUUUAGACUGGUAGCUUUUGUCAGUGUAG
Long non-coding RNA from Gallus gallus (chicken), 1253 nucleotides. Lineage: Eukaryota; Metazoa; Chordata; Aves; Galliformes; Phasianidae. The record is from Ensembl.